CCUACGGGAGGCAGCAGUGGGGAAUUUUGGACAAUGGGCGCAAGCCUGAUCCAGCCAUUCCGCGUGAGUGAAGAAGGCCUUCGGGUUGUAAAGCUCUUUCGCAAGGGAAGAAACGAUACUGGUAAAUAAUCAGUGUUAAUGACGGUACCUUGAUAAGAAGCACCGGCUAACUACGUGCCAGCAGCCGCGGUAAUACGUAGGGUGCGAGCGUUAAUCGGAAUUACUGGGCGUAAAGCGUGCGCAGGCUGUUUUGUAAGUCAGAUGUGAAAUCCCCGAGCUCAACUUGGGAACUGCGUUUGAAACUACAAGACUAGAAUAUGUCAGAGGGGGGUAGAAUUCCACGUGUAGCAGUGAAAUGCGUAGAGAUGUGGAGGAAUAUCAAUGGCGAAGGCAGCCCCCUGGGAUAAUAUUGACGCUCAUGCACGAAAGCGUGGGGAGCAAACAGGAUUAGAUACCCUGGUAGUCCACGCCCUAAACGAUGUCAACUAGUUGUUGGUAGAGUAAAACUCUAUGAGUAACCGCGAGCUACGACGUGUAGUUAGUACCGCCGUCGGGUAGGUACGGAGUCGCGAGAGUUAAACGUUAACGUAAGAAAGUUAGUACGGACGUGAGACGNGCCGACGGACGACGACGAGGGAGGAGGG
RNAcentral lists this ribosomal RNA (644 nucleotides) under uncultured bacterium. RNAcentral's name for it is "bacterial SSU rRNA". The stretch from base 1 to 549 matches the Rfam family "Bacterial small subunit ribosomal RNA", at positions 338 to 873 of the family's 1533-position model. The record is from RNAcentral.